GAGAUGACAUCUCUUCAGGAUGGUGUAGAGACGUGGGCGGAGUGUGCAGGGCUGGCGUGCAAGGGGUGGGGACACGUUGCAUCCAUGGUGCUGUUUGUGCAGGUGGCCUCCAGGAGGGCAGUUUCCAGAGAUGAAUUUCCUUCCCCUUGCCCAGCCCACCACUGCCCAGCCCUGUGGGCUCUGAGGCUGACGGAGAGAGACCUGCCACACCCCGGGACACUCUGGAUCGAAGCCACCCAGCGUCAGAGCUUGGACGAUCAAGGUGGACCUACCCGCUCAGAAAGACAGUGGCGCUUCUGUCAAGGGAGACCUCAACGACCUUCCUCUGAAAAGAAAAAUGUCCUUGCAAGUAGGUAAAUGA
This 361-nucleotide long non-coding RNA is filed under the name Homo sapiens (human). RNAcentral's name for it is "long independently transcribed non-coding RNA 618 (LINC00618)". The record is from RNAcentral. Lineage: Eukaryota; Metazoa; Chordata; Mammalia; Primates; Hominidae.